RNAcentral lists this ribosomal RNA (801 nucleotides) under uncultured bacterium. RNAcentral's name for it is "bacterial SSU rRNA". It matches the Rfam family "Bacterial small subunit ribosomal RNA", at positions 34 to 796 of the family's 1533-position model. The record is from RNAcentral.
CGCUGGCGGCGUGCCUAAUACAUGCAAGUCGAACGCACUCUCGUUAGAUUGAAGAAGCUUGCUUCUGAUUGAUAACAUUUGAGUGAGUGGCGGACGGGUGAGUAACACGUGGGUAACCUGCCCUAAAGUGGGGGAUAACAUUUGGAAACAGAUGCUAAUACCGCAUAAAACCUAGCACCGCAUGGUGCAAGGUUGAAAGAUGGUUUCGGCUAUCACUUUAGGAUGGACCCGCGGUGCAUUAGUUAGUUGGUGAGGUAAAGGCUCACCAAGACCGUGAUGCAUAGCCGACCUGAGAGGGUAAUCGGCCACACUGGGACUGAGACACGGCCCAGACUCCUACGGGAGGCAGCAGUAGGGAAUCUUCCACAAUGGACGAAAGUCUGAUGGAGCAACGCCGCGUGAGUGAAGAAGGUUUUCGGAUCGUAAAACUCUGUUGUUGGAGAAGAACGUAUUUGAUAGUAACUGAUCAGGUAGUGACGGUAUCCAACCAGAAAGCCACGGCUAACUACGUGCCAGCAGCCGCGGUAAUACGUAGGUGGCAAGCGUUGUCCGGAUUUAUUGGGCGUAAAGCGAGCGCAGGCGGUUUCUUAAGUCUGAUGUGGAAGCCUUCGGCUCAACCGAAGAAGUGCAUCGGAAACUGGGAAACUUGAGUGCAGAAGAGGACAGUGGAACUCCAUGUGUAGCGGUGAAAUGCGUAGAUAUAUGGAAGAACACCAGUGGCGAAGGCGGCUGUCUGGUCUGUAACUGACGCUGAGGCUCGAAAGCAUGGGUAGCAAACAGGAUUAGAUACCCUGGUAGUCC